UGUAAGAACCUUUUUAUUUACUAUAAUAUGAGUUUAUAAUACUGUUCAAGUAAUUUUUGAUACAAGUUUAAUGAUUAUUUUCUCGCAUUUUGCAAUGUUUAUGUCGUUGUAUGGUAUGUCGGUUUGACAAUCAAAAUACAUUGUUUUGUAAACAAUACUUACCUGGUAUGAUACUUACGUGGUUAAUACUUACCUUUUUCCCUUUUUGUAAUUCCCUAGACCUGAGAUUCCCAUUUUUUCGGGUUUUCAGUUGUUUAUUCUAUACCCCCUUUUUUCGUGUGAAAAAAUGUAUGGAACGCAUUUCGUGUCAUAUUUGUAAUUUAUUAUUUUUUGGUAAUUUCAUAUAACAACU
RNAcentral lists this long non-coding RNA (352 nucleotides) under Mytilus galloprovincialis (Mediterranean mussel). The record is from RNAcentral. Lineage: Eukaryota; Metazoa; Mollusca; Bivalvia; Mytilida; Mytilidae.